This 233-nucleotide ribosomal RNA is filed under the name uncultured bacterium. Its description in RNAcentral is "partial 16S ribosomal RNA". It matches the Rfam family "Bacterial small subunit ribosomal RNA", at positions 104 to 334 of the family's 1533-position model. The record is from RNAcentral.
GGGUAGCGGAACACGUACGCAACCUUCCCAAAACUGGUGAAUAGCCCUCCGAAAGGAGGAUUAAUACACCGUACCAUAAUGAAGAGGCAUCUCUUUAUUAUUAUAGUAGCAAUACGGUUUUGGAUGGGCGUGCGCCUGAUUAGGUAGUUGGCGGGGUAACGGCCCACCAAGCCUGCGAUCAGUAACUGGUGUGAGAGCACGACCAGUCACACGGGCACUGAGACACGGGCCCG